GCAUUGCCAUGAGCUGCAGUAUAGGUUGCAGAUGAGGCUGGGCUCUGGUGUUGCUGUGGCUGUGGCAUAGGCUGGAAGCUACAGCUCCUAUUUGAUCCCUAACCUGGGAACUUCCAUAUGCAGCAGGUGCGGUCCUAAAAAAAAAAAGGAUUAAAAAAAUUGAAUGCAAAAUCAUCUACUAUAAUGAUAUUUAUUCAAAAAAGUGUCUAUAUAUCUAAGUAAACAUUGAAAGAAACAAGAGGGUAAGAAAACUUUUGGGAGUGUGAGUAGAUGGAUUAUAGUAUGAUUUUCUUCUUAAUGUCAUGCAUACUAAUGUUAACAUUUUAAAGAUAAAAGUGUAAUUCAAAAUUCUUAAUGUAUCAAUCCACUUUCCCUAUUAAAUUAACUAGAAUUCAAGUACUAGCACGCUUCUCCUCAAAAUUAAUUUAGGCCUUCAAGGAUGUAAAACUACUUUUAAUCUCAGCAUCCAAACAAUUCAUAAUGUUAUAUUUUUCCCUUCAGCAUGACUUUAGAGUCUUCACCAGCAAAUCUAAAGGUCCUCUAGGGCUGUCUGCUCUAUGAACUCUUUAAGUGCUGGAGAUCAAGUAUCAUGAGCGAAGUUGGCAUCAAUCCACACCUAAUUAGACAUGUCAGGGAGAGCAGCCAGCCAGCUGGCUUGGAUUAUACACAUGCAGACCCAGCUGAGGUAGAGCAUCAGCUCAGAGGCUGCCCAGCGAAGUUUGUUUCAUCUCUCUUCACCCACCUCCACCCCUCCCUCUCCUCUGUCCCUUAUGGAGGGGGAGCUUGCAAAGAGGAGCAGCAUUCCUUUCCGGAGGGCUCUGUGAGGACUGUCUGGAAAUCUUUUUUGCCAUUCACUGAAUAUUCAUGGAAAUUCCCUGAAUAUUAAUAUUUAUGGCAAUUCCCUGAAUACGUGCCUGGUGUGUGACUGUGAAAGAAUAGCAGAAAUUAAUUAUUUUCUUUGAGUUACCACCCAUUAGAUCAAAUUUGCAUGCUGCAGGAAGAGCUGCUGGAAGUCGGCUUCUAGCAGGAAGACAACUUCUAGCAGGAAGCCACAUCUAACACCCCAGGUCUGAUUCAUCUCCCUUAAGGGCAUAGGCUAGCUGUAGUUGAUAAUGAUGUCUCUAAAACUUGGGUGAAGGAGAGCUCCCUUAGCCUCAGUUGACUACUGCUUUAUCAGCUCAUUUCUCCCUGCAUUGAGGGGCUAGGAGAACUGGCAUGAUUACACCAUUAGGACAGGGAGAAACCCCAACAGGGUAUGGGAGAGUGGGUCAUGCAUAAGGAAAAGUUGAAAGGACUGAGAAGUACCCAGUCCUCCUCAGAAUUGUCAAAUGUUCCUUCUGUCAUUUCUGAGUCUCUGCAUCUUUGCUUAUACUACCCUUUCCAACCCAAAUGUGUCUUUUUCUUUCGCACCUAUUCAAAUCCCACCCUCUUCAAAGUCUAGGUCACAUCUAACAUUCUCCCCAAAGUCUCUCCUUAUUGUUCUAACCCAUACUGAAUUCUUCAUGCAAUUACAGCAGAGGAGGCGACAUUUACAUGGAAAGACAAAGUUGGUCAGUGAGCUUGGGAUCAGAAUAAGAAAAAUUAGUUGAGUUCCUUAAAUGGUUGACAACAACCUUAAGAGUCUGGGACAUGCGUCUUCGUGUGGUUUGUUGCUAAGGGGCCUGCAUCAGCCAGAUAGGGCAGUGUAUUUUCUGCACUGAGCUGAAGAUAACAUAGUAAAUUUUUUUUUUUUUUCCUUCUAGGCUCCUAAAAAACCACUCCACUUCUCUAAAUAACGUUCUUUUUCAAGUUCUAACUCUUGGACUAAUGAUGUUUUUGAAGCCUCCCCAAUUACCUUAUGCAAACUAUUUGUGAAGAACCGUCAAUAUUAUUGAUUAGAUAAACUUUUUUUCACUGAUGCUUUUCACUGUUGGAUCCUUGUGACCAUCCACUGUGAUUUAUUAAGGCACAUAUUUCCAGACUGUAUCUUAGGGAUAAUUCUUUCAAGAAUAGCUCAUCUUAUCCAUUAAAUGUUUAAUUUUACUCAUCUCAUUCUCAGACUUAAGCUUAUUUUUGAACUCUGAGAGCAUCUUCUUCUAGUUCUCUCUUUUCAUGAAUUUCUACAUCUCUGAUGAUGGUAUCACUCUCCUUAGCCCUUGCUUUCAUCCUAUACUGUUUUGUUGAUUAUUUGGUCUAUACAAGUAAACCUUUGCUUCCUUGGUUUUAUUGUAAACCUACAGAGGCAAGGACCCUGACUGGUACAUCUUUGCUCCCCUGUAAGGACUAAUAUACCUGGGCACUAAAGAAGUAUUUAAUAAACACUCAGAGUUAGGUUUUGCCAAAAAGAUGUAGUGCUGAGACAACUGAUCCAUAGCUCUGGGCAAGAGAUGGAAUUCCACACGAAUAAAUCAGAUUGUAUGAGCAUCUCUCCUGCACCCCGUCUCUGCUUACCUCACCUGCUUCACUGGUCUUUAUCCUCACCCACAUGAUAUGGAGCAUAGGUUUCAGUAUACAACCCACCAUGGCUACACACCAUGAUUUAAUCUGUUAGGUCACAGCCUUUGUCUGAUAUCUGUUUGUUUCUUUCUCUGUGCUUGCCACUGUUGUCACUCUGCUACCCAAAUUGCACAAGCCACAAUACCAUUUUUUUUUUCACUGAACUGUGAAAUUUAGCAGCUGUGACUAAAUCAAGUUCAUCUCUUUAUUGCCUGGUAUCAUCACUUGCACAAGCUGCAGUUCUCCACAAACAUGAUUGAAUAAGUGAGGAAAUGAAUGAAUAAGGGAAUGAUUACUCUUCUUGUCCUGAGCACUAAAGAUACUGAUUACAAUUUCCUUAAGAUCGGGUCUUUGGGUCCUAAAAUCAACACAGUCUCAAACACACACACACACACACACACACACACACACACAAACACACAUGCACGCGAGUUUCAUUCUAAGCUAUCUAUCUAAUGUUCACUGGUCCCCUUUUUCUUUAUAGCUUUCCAUAGCUGCAUCCUUGGCCUGCUUCCUAAAAGUCCAUCCUACCUCUGUAAAUGCCUGAUGAGUCUGAUUAUCUCUUAUGGCAUAAUACAUAAAAUGGAAUUGAUAAUAAUGUCUAAUUCUUAUUCUAAUUUUAAGAAUAAAUGAGAAUACUUUGAAAAUCACUGAGCUCUGUACCUGGAACAUUUUAAAUGCUCAAAAGAUACUGGCGAUGCUCUUAUUUUUCUUAAUUUAUUAAUACCUAUUUUAUUGAUGCAGCUAUCACCUUCAACCCAAUAAAAUUUAAAAUAAAUUCUUUAUAGUCCUUCCUGAAGAUUCCACUAUUGGAUCUCAAUUCUGCCACUGGCCACUCGGACCUUGACAAUUAGCAUCAUGUUUGAAGUCCUCUGAAUUUUAAUUUUCUUAUCUCACAAUCCUGUUCUGCUUGGUUAUUCUAGCUGCAAGCUCUAUCCCCUUCAAUAAAUGCUCUUUGCUGUAAAGAAAUUUUCCUCAAACACUACUCUGAUUAUGUAAUUCCCUUCCUUAGAACAUUUCAUGAUUCCUCACUGCUAAUAGAAAAAGUUCAAUACCUUAACUGGGCAUCUUAGUGUCUCCGUCAGAAGGCUCUGACUUUCCCUAUUUACCACCACUGACUCCCAAAAAUAUCCCACAAUUACAAGAAAAUGGAGUUACUCUUAACUUCUGCACAGACUAUGGCAUGUUCUUUCCCCUGCCUGAAUUGAUCAUCCUCUUUCCACUUAUCUAAACUGCAUCCACCCCUCAGUAAGUUUUUCUAGUCCACCACAGACCGUACAAUCACUCUGUUUUUCACCUUAACAUUUAUAUUUAGUAACAAAGUCCUCAUCUUGACAAGCACAUACUUACAGCAUUCUUCUGGAUAAAAAUAAAAUUCUCGUUGUGAUUCACGUCUUCAUUAAGUUGAACAUAUGGAAUUGGCAUUUAUGAGGUCAAAGAUGGCCAAAUACUGACAAUUUCAAAUGGAUUAAUUCACAAAUGCAAUUAAAAAUACAAAUCUAAUUAUCUUAUCCCCAUAGCCAGUACUGUAGACAUAGAAUCUCUAUUUCUUUACAGAAACAUUUUUUUUUAAUUCACCAAACAACUGUUGCAGUUUUGCUAACCACAUCAUGGUGAAAGAGUCUAAUGAGUGCUAAUAUUUCUUUUUUUGGACAAGUUGUUUCAAUCCAAUCAAGAAAUAAAUCUAAUCAACACAUUAUUCUUUGAUUCUGAAUUGCCCCCAAAUUUCUCUAAUCUCGAGGGUCUCUGAAAAAUUUGUUUGGAAAGUUAUAACAAAAUGACACAGACUGAGUAGCUUACAAGCAAUAUAAAUUUAUUUCUCCCUAUUCUGGAAGCUGAGAAGUCCAAGAUCAAGUCAUGGUUGCAUUCUGGUCAAAGCCCUCUUCGGGUUUAUAGCUGGUACCUUCUCAGUCUCUCCGCAUAGGGUGGAAAUGGGGGUAAGAUCUCUCUGGAGCAUCUCUACAAGGGCAUUAAUCAUCUCUCAAAGGCCCCAUAUCCUAUACCAUCAUAUUGAACAUUAGGAUUUCAAUACAUUAAUUUGGGCAAACACAAACAUUCUGACCAUAGCAGAAAGUGUCUUCUCAACAUCAUAGUUGUCCAGUGACAAGAGUCAAAGACCUAAUGAAAGAAAUGUUAGAUUGGAGUACUGUAUUUCCAUCAGAGAGGAAGGAGAAAUACUGUCAUAGCCUUUCAUUGCCAGCUCUUGAGAAGAGAUGCUGACACCUUCUGUUCCAAAACGUAACACAACAACUAGUUCGAUGACUUUGUGGACUGGAAAAUUGAAGUCCCCACACCAGCCCAAGAACAGGAUACUGAGCUAAAGAACUUAAUUGUGUUUUACUUUAUUCAAUUAUUAUAAUUAUGCUUUUGAUUGGCAUCCUUUGAUUAUCCAGUUUUCCAAUUUUUAUCUCUACUAUUUUCUAUUCUUAUGUAUGCUUGUAUUCAGCUUUUACUUGAAUUUUAUGCUGUUUUUCACUCAUUGGACAUUCAGACUUCUAUAUAAGAAUAAUUUGAUGGAUUUUUAAGAGUUGAGAAAAUUCUUUAGUUCAUUGAUUUUCUUUUUUAUAACUUUUCUGUAUAUAUUUAUAAUGAUUUUUCUACAUCAUAAUGUUUCUUUUAAUACCCUAAAAGGCAGGAACAAUGUAGCAUUUUCUACACAUAUGUAUUUCCAAUUUUUUAACUCAAUGAAUUUUAUUACAUUUAUAGUCAUACAAUGAUCAUAGCAUUAUAUUUUUAAAAGUUUAAAAUACAAAUUUCUUUCAGAUUUCUAGACCUAAUAGAUAAUAUUUGAAUAUUUUCCACUUUUAAAGAUUAUUUUGUUUUUAAGAGACAACCAUCAUUUGAAAUACUUUUAACUACGUAUAUUUAACUUCUACAUUCAAAACUAAAUCUAGGAGUUCCCAUUGUGGUGCAGUGGAAAUGAUCUGACUAGUAUCCAUGAAGAUGCGGGUUCAAUCCCUGGCCUUGCUCAGUGGAUUGGGGAUCUGGCAUUGCUGUGGCUGUGGUGUAGGCUGGCAGCUACUCCAAUUCGACCCUUAGCCUGGGAACUUCCAUAUGCCCCGAGUGUGGCC
Molecule: long non-coding RNA, 5546 nt
Filed under: Sus scrofa (pig)
Lineage: Eukaryota; Metazoa; Chordata; Mammalia; Artiodactyla; Suidae
Description: lncRNA (ENSSSCG00000056570.1)
Source: RNAcentral